RNAcentral lists this ribosomal RNA (318 nucleotides) under Triticum aestivum (bread wheat). RNAcentral's name for it is "partial small subunit ribosomal RNA". Lineage: Eukaryota; Viridiplantae; Streptophyta; Magnoliopsida; Poales; Poaceae. The record is from RNAcentral.
AUGUGUAGGAACAAAGUUGGAUCUUGGAUGCUUUGCAAGCGCCCUUUCUAUGUUGUUUUCCUAUUUAUUUAUUUAUUGUGCUUCCCUUUUUUGGACUACAAUGUACUGGGAGGUGAGGAAAUGAGAUUGAACUACGUGUUUUCUUUUCAGGUAUACUUGAAGUUAACGAGUUUCCAAUUCCUUCUUGUUGUUAAUGAUAUGAAAGUGCAACCGUGGUUUUUGCUCCCAGCUGAUGCAUACUACUUUGCUUGCAACUAUCAUCAGCCAUUGUUGCUGGUACUGCCCCUUUUUGAGAACCAAAGAAAUACUGAUUUUUAG